GAUGAACGCUGGCGGCGUGCCUAAUACAUGCAAGUCGAGCGAACAGACGAGGAGCUUGCUCCUCUGACGUUAGCGGCGGACGGGUGAGUAACACGUGGAUAACCUACCUAUAAGACUGGGAUAACUUCGGGAAACCGGAGCUAAUACCGGAUAAUAUAUUGAACCGCAUGGUUCAAUAGUGAAAGACGGUUUUGCUGUCACUUAUAGAUGGAUCCGCGCCGCAUUAGCUAGUUGGUAAGGUAACGGCUUACCAAGGCAACGAUGCGUAGCCGACCUGAGAGGGUGAUCGGCCAAACUGGAACGGAGACACGGUCCAGACUCCAACGGGAGGCAGAAGUAGGGAAUCUUCCGCAAGGGGCGAAAGCCUGACGGAGCAACGCCGCGUGAGGGAUGAAGGUCUUCGGAUCGUAAAACUCUUUUAUUAGGGAAAAACAAAUGUGUAAGUAACUAUGCACGUUUUGACGGUACCAAAUCAGAAAGCCACGGCUAACUACG
RNAcentral lists this ribosomal RNA (495 nucleotides) under uncultured bacterium. RNAcentral's name for it is "partial 16S ribosomal RNA". It matches the Rfam family "Bacterial small subunit ribosomal RNA", at positions 28 to 505 of the family's 1533-position model. The record is from RNAcentral.